This 107-nucleotide microRNA precursor is filed under the name Nicotiana sylvestris (wood tobacco). Its description in RNAcentral is "MIR6152 microRNA precursor family". It matches the Rfam family "MIR6152 microRNA precursor family". Lineage: Eukaryota; Viridiplantae; Streptophyta; Magnoliopsida; Solanales; Solanaceae. RNAcentral also lists the same sequence under 1 other name. The record is from Rfam by way of RNAcentral.
UGGACAAAUUAUUAUAUUCGACUGUAUUCGACUAUAUUCACGUCGUGAAAUAGGGGAUUACAUUAUUUUUACAACGGAAAGUGAAUCAAUUAACAUAAUAGACUUCU